Molecule: long non-coding RNA, 3181 nt
Filed under: Homo sapiens (human)
Lineage: Eukaryota; Metazoa; Chordata; Mammalia; Primates; Hominidae
Description: non-protein coding lnc-HTR4-1:6
Source: RNAcentral
AAACCCGUGUCCAUAUUGUGUGUGUGAAGAAGCAUCGAAGCGCGGCAGCCAUGUUCAGCGUGGCAUUUCGGAAGGCUUGUCAGGGGUGGAGAAGCGGGGCGGGUUGCUGUUCUUUCACCUGACACUAAAGCGCCAUGCCGGAAGCACUGAGUCUGAUACGUCGGAACCAGUCUCCACCGUGUGGUUUGGUCUUGAUUUCCACUGGUACUCUGGGGUCUUGGAUAAGUCUCUGGACCUCGCCUUUGUCAUUUGCGAAGUCGAUAGGUUCCAAUAGAGAUUUUCCCAGAAUCAUUCAACUAAAAAUAGAGAACUUUUUUUUUUUGAGAGGAAGGACGGGGGCGCAGUUAAAGAUGUUAAUGUUAAGUCAUCCCUUCUGUGAUUUCGGGACAUUAUCUUUGCACGCCAUGUGAAGAUGUGCUUGCUUCCUUGUCACCUUCCGCCAUGAUUGUAAGUUUCCUGAGGCCUCCCAGGAAGCAGAAGCCUGUACAGCCCACAGAACCAUGACCUGAUGAAAUCUCUUUUCUUUAUAAAUUACCCAGUCUCAGAUCUUGCUAUGCUUGUCAUUGUGUAAGCAGCAAACUUGCAGUGACCAGUUGGAUUCCACCCCCCUGAUGUUGGUGGUGUGCUCUUGGGGAGAUGUCUUCCAGACAGGCAAAGAAGAGUGACAUCAUCAGAGCAUGGACGACCUCAAAGAUAUUCCAGCUAUGAGGAAACAAAAGGAGGGUGUUAGAGGAAAAAGAGGGAAACCCACUGACAGAGAGGAAGGCUGAAGAGAUCCCACCGCUGACUUGGACUAAGGAGAGAGAAGUCAAAGAGUGGUUACCUGGAUGAGGUGGCUGAAUAUGGGCCUGCUCUUGUCACUUUGGAUGUCACAACUAGCCUUGAGAAGAGCUGCUGUUCCAGGAGUCUGUCACAACUAGCCUUGAGAAGAGCUGCUGUUCCAGGAGUCUGUAGCCAAGGACGUACAGCAGUGGAGGCUGACUCAUCGCAUAGCUGAGUGACCAAUUGCUUGGCAUGAGUUUACUUUAAUGGCUGUUUCUGAGUUUGAUCCCUCUCCGGAACCAACCCCUCUGAUGUGUCCUGUUCCAGCAGGAAGAGACAGACCUGGAGGUUCUGUACUUGUGAUUUCUGGUUGUGGAUCCUGAGAACAAGAAGUACUGGGAUCCUAAAGUUCUGACAUUUGCAAAGCAGAUUAAUGACCUACCACAUUCCAGAUCAUUUGGUGAUUUUGUGUGUGCGUGUGGGUGUGUGUGUGUGUGUGCCAAAUUCAAGGUGGUCCCAGCCUUUCUAGUCUUCUCUAACCUUUCUUCUCAGAAGUCGCACCUGUUCUGUCUUUCUAGGAUAUAAUUUUUUUUCUAUUAGCCUGGGUAACACCCCAACCAAUAAAGUUUGCAAUAUCCAAGCCUCCUAAUUUCUCUACUUAUUAGCUUAUAUUAAGCUUCAGCAUGAGCAAGCCUAAAAACUCGCCAUUAUCUGGAAAAGUUCUAUUUCACAGGCUUUAAUCUCUCCUAGAGUAGUUAGCACUCUUUUGUGGCUUUGUGUUCCUGUACUAGCUUGAAUUCCACAGUCUGACGUUAAUAAUUAGCUCCUUAACACGUCCAUCCUCUCUUGAUGUCCUGCUCUCUAUUUUUCCUUCUUUCUUCCAAGUUGGGAUAAAUUCAGCUUCUUAUUUUCCUGCUCCAGACCUUGGUUGUGGAGAAAGAUAGAAAAAGUUCCAUACAGGGGACUCUGUGAUCCUGCUAACAUCAUUAUUUACCUAAGCUCUUUAGACUCCAGUGAAAGCUUCUGAUUUAAUGUCAUGUCCCUACUUUAUGCCACAUGUCCCAUACCAUUUUCUUUGUUUUAUGCAAUUUAUUUCCACUAUCUGAUCCCAUUCCACCCACAUGACUUUGAGUGGAAAACUUCAUCUCUUCAUUGCUGAGUAAACAAACUUCAGGAUGAACAAGCCCUGUCCACUAUUUUCCCUUUUACUUUAAAAUUCUGGAAUUUUUAUGAUCUACGUUUUUUUCCUCUGUUUUUAUUCUUCACUCCAUAUCAACUUACUUGGGGAUCUACACCUUCAUUCAUUCUUUUCAUUCUGUCGGCACCUGGCUAUGGAGUUUACAUUUCUCAUCAUAUUUACUCCUCAUAAUAAUCCUGUGAGGUAUAUACCACUCUGAGUCUUGUAUAAGAGAAAAAGAAACUGAGAUAGGGAUAACUCAAAGGGAUAAUUCAUUUGCUGGAGCUACCAACUAGCUACUAACCAUGCUAGAAUGGACAGAGAUGACAUUCAUGCCAAAGACCAUGUUGACUUGCUAUCUCUACAUUUGCUCUAAGUUUAGAAAAAAAAAAUCCCUUCAAUUUAUCCUCCAACAGUCUUCUUAGAACCUUACCAUGGAUGCCUUGUAUAACACAUUUCACCUUUCUGGUAAAAAAAAAAAAAAAAAAAAAAAAAAAAAAGUACCCCUCUUCCUUUCAUUAAAUCUUGCUUUUCCCAAAGCCAGUGAUUUUAAUCUCUUCAAAAUACUGCCUUCUAAUUUAUUAGAAUAUAGGCUCUGUUAAGGAAAAGGCCUUGCCUAUAUCUGUUAAUAAUUUUUACCUUGUAAUCACAGUGAAGAGCAUUGAAUUUGCCACAUGGUAAGUAUUCAGUAAAUAAAUAGAUAUAAGGUGAAAUAAAGUAGUCCACCCAUCCCUUUUUUAUUCGGUUGUUUACUGUGUUCUUGGAUAUUUUUAAAAAUGUGUCUUCACAGAUGUAAUUUAGAGACAUUGUAUCUAGUCCACCAAAAAAAAAACACCUAAUUUUGAUGAAGGAGUCACAUAAAUUUUGGAAAAGUAAUAUUUUUAUAAUAUAGUUCCUUUAUACAUGAAUAUGAUGGGCCUUCUUUUUGACUUGCAGGGUAGUUUAUCCAUUUUAUUUAUGUACAGAUAUUACCUGAAUGGUGGACACAAAUCCAAAUACAAAUCUGAUCUUGUUGCCCUACUCAAGUCCUCCAUUGGCUCUUCAUUGCUUAUAUUAUGGUACUAUUAUUUAUGGUAAUAAUACUCGGGUAUGACAAAAGUAACAUUUUACUUUGUGUAACUGAAAUCAACUUGUUCAUUUUACUUAAGGAUAAAGUUACCCUUUAUUUUCCCCCUGAAUAGAAACACACACAAUAUUCCUUGCAUACUUUUCAUGUAUGCAAUGUUGCUUCCCUUCACCCUC